GCUCCAUAUUUGCUUUUUUAUAUAUUUAUUUUAUUGCCUGCGAACAUAGUAUGAUAUUACCCUUUUUGUGUAUUGCCCCACAAAGGGGGCGCCAGGCCUACUGUCAUGCAGAAACAUCUAUGAUUUGUUUUCUUUCCUUCUAGGCGUGUUGCUCGAUAUAUGUAUGUAUAUGUAUGAGCAGCCCAGCGGGUGGAAUAUCGCAAUCUGAUCUGCCAAUGUGAUGCUAUGUCAGGUCUCGGCCAAGAAAAGCCUCCAUUGAUGACGAAAUGCCGC
Molecule: small RNA, 273 nt
Filed under: Histoplasma capsulatum
Lineage: Eukaryota; Fungi; Ascomycota; Eurotiomycetes; Onygenales; Ajellomycetaceae
Also listed under: 1 other name
Description: hypothetical RNA
Source: RNAcentral